CAAGCGGUGGAGUAUGUGGUUUAAUUCGAUGCAACGCGAAGAACCUUACCUGGUCUUGACAUCCCGGAGACCCUUAGGAACUAGGGGUGCUUCCAUCUGGAAGAAUCUGGAGACAGGUGCUGCAUGGCUGUCGUCAGCUCGUGUCGUGAGAUGUUGGGUUAAGUCCCGCAACGAGCGCAACCCUUGCCUUUAGUUGCCAGCAGUUCGGCUGGGCACUCUAAAGGGACUGCCGGUGUUAAACCGGAGGAAGGUGGGGAUGACGUCAAGUCCUCAUGGCCUUUAUGACCAGGGCUACACACGUACUACAAUGGCCGAUACAAAGGGCAGCGACACUGCGAGGUGAAGCCAAUCCCGUAAAAUCGGUCUCAGUCCGGAUUGGAGUCUGCAACUCGACUCCAUGAAGUUGGAAUCGCUAGUAAUCGUGGAUCAGCAUGCCACGGUGAAUACGUUCCCGGGCCUU
This 460-nucleotide ribosomal RNA is filed under the name uncultured Desulfobulbus sp. RNAcentral describes it as "bacterial SSU rRNA". It matches the Rfam family "Bacterial small subunit ribosomal RNA", at positions 926 to 1382 of the family's 1533-position model. The record is from RNAcentral. Lineage: Bacteria; Pseudomonadati; Thermodesulfobacteriota; Desulfobulbia; Desulfobulbales; Desulfobulbaceae.